Molecule: ribosomal RNA, 195 nt
Filed under: uncultured bacterium
Lineage: Bacteria
Description: partial 16S ribosomal RNA
Rfam family: Bacterial small subunit ribosomal RNA
Source: RNAcentral
UCGGAGGCUGAAACCCGCCUCCAUGAAGUUGGAUUCGCUAGUAAUCGCGCAUCAGCCAUGGCGCGGUGAAUACGUUCCCGGGCCUUGUACACACCGCCCGUCAAGCCAUGGGAGCUGGGGGUGCCUGAAGUUCGUGACCGCAAGGAUCGACCUAGGGCAAAACCGGUGACUGGGGCUAAGUCGUAACAAGGUAAC